AGUACGGAACGUCGACCCAAUCGGUGGGGGAAUAACGUAGACGAAAGCUACGCUAAUACCGCAUACGAUCUACGGAUAGAAAGGCGGGGGAUCGCAAGACCUCGCGCGAAUGGAGCGGCCGAUGGCAGAUUAGGUAGUUGGUGGGGUAAAGGCUCACCAAGCCUGCGAUCUGUAGCUGGUCUGAGAGGACGACCAGCCACACUGGAACUGAGACACGGUCCAGACUCCUACGGGAGGCAGCAGUGGGGAAUUUUGGACAAUGGGCGCAAGCCUGAUCCAGCCAUUCCGCGUGCAGGAUGAAGGCCCUCGGGUUGUAAACUGCUUUUGUACGGAACGAAAAGGCUUUCUCUAAUACAGGGGGCUCAUGACGGUACCGUAAGAAUAAGCACCGGCUAACUACGUG
This 403-nucleotide ribosomal RNA is filed under the name uncultured bacterium. RNAcentral describes it as "bacterial SSU rRNA". It matches the Rfam family "Bacterial small subunit ribosomal RNA", at positions 109 to 507 of the family's 1533-position model. The record is from RNAcentral.